CCCUUCAUUUGCAUUUCUAAGUUGUAUGUAAGAAUUGGAUGGAACUAAACAGAUUAGUAAGAUCAAAAUAUUCAGUUGCUGUUUAGUUUCCUCCAAUAUCUUAUCUCCAGCUUCUAAACUAUAUAUAUAAACC
This 133-nucleotide microRNA precursor is filed under the name Citrus sinensis (sweet orange). RNAcentral's name for it is "miR2275a stem-loop (csi-MIR2275a)". The stretch from base 19 to 113 matches the Rfam family "MIR2275 microRNA precursor family". The record is from miRBase by way of RNAcentral. Lineage: Eukaryota; Viridiplantae; Streptophyta; Magnoliopsida; Sapindales; Rutaceae.